UCACACCCAACAUGGAGGCCCAGGUACGAGAGCCACAGUGAAGAACAUCACUGAGGAGAGCUGACCAUAUCAAAAAGAAAAGAAAUAGAGGUAGCUGCAAGACGGGAGCCUGCUGCAGCAACAAAGACCUUGGUAAAUGAUCGACGAUAUGGGAAAAGAAAUGAGUCAACAUUAAUUGUUUGUUGAAGGCCUCAAGAAGGCACUUAAGAGUUGAGGGAUUAGACUUAAAACAUAGGAUUUGUUAAAGAUUUUUGUCUUUAUUAAGGAAGUUUGUCCCU
This is a non-coding RNA of Mesocricetus auratus (golden hamster), 278 nucleotides long. Lineage: Eukaryota; Metazoa; Chordata; Mammalia; Rodentia; Cricetidae. The record is from Rfam.